GUACUUUGUACAACAAUUGUUGUACUUUAAAAGUACAAUAAUUUCCUGUUUAAAAAAAAUUGCCAGGAAUUUGUGUACUUUUGUUGUGGUGUUUUUCUUGCAGUGUGUGCAGGCUGGGCUCGCUUCGGAGUUGUGGUUCGUCCGUAUGGUCUCGUAAUCGCGGUUGGGUACGGGUACGGGUACUCCUCUCCCCGCGCAUCCGCGUUCAAGCCCCUGGGCUGCAAGACAGCCUUCUGAUGCACCGGAGGGCUGCUUGUGCCUCGGGGGCUCGCGGUGCGUCAGUGGGAGCAGGAGUGCAGGUGAGUUCCGCCCUGGCAAAACGACUGUUUGAGUUCGCACGCAUUCGACCCGCCUGCAGCCGCCAAGGUAAACCGCAUCCGAUGUGCCCAGUGUGCUUUUUGCGCUAUUCGCCUUUCGUGGUGCUGAACACAGGACGUUCAACCUUACGUCGGGUCUGCAUGUGGCAUGCACCCUCAAUGCACCGGGUGCAUUAGGUGCACUGCUGCUGUGGGCCCGAGAGGGAAGCCUGGGAAUGGGGUACACCGCUACUCUCUAAGGACGGUCUCUGAGCCGCGGACUGCAGAAUGGACGUAACUUACUCUGCAGUCCGCGGCUCGAAUCCCGUGCAAAGAGAAAUUGGGUUUAUCACCCUGCCUGCAUGCAGCCCCGCUGAGGCUUUGCACCGUUGUUUCUCUUUCGCACUGCUUCUUCGCACUCGAUGUUUACCGCGAUGCUUUCAGAACCCUGUACACUGUUUCAGAGGACGGCGCGCGAACUGCCCGGUACUUGCCACCAGCUUGUCAGUGUGAGCGCCGGAAGGGAGGUCUCUGGAGCGGCUUCGGAUUUCGAGCCAGUCGCAGUCUUGGUCUGAUCCCCAGAGCGUGGCCAGUCCAGCGACCGCACCAGCAACUCGUAGGUGACAUUUUUACUGAGCUCUGGCGGCACUACAUGAACGGACGACACGCCAUCCCGAGAUAUUCGUCGUCAGUUCACCAGCUUACUCCCCAAUGCGUGCCCAGGCGCCAGAGCUGCGGGAAAGCCUCCAGCGCCCUACAGGUGGCUGCAAGGGGAGUGCUGAAUCUGUUCGCUUGAGUGUUGUGAUUCCACCAAGUCUACUCCAACUCGUCACAUCAAUAACCCUGACAACUUUGCCAUAAGGGUUCUUCAAAGACCAUCGAACCAUUCUGGAGCUGGAUCGUGUCGUCUGGAUCAUGUUCCAAAAGAGAUGACAACACUUCGGGACUGCUUCAGGCUCCUUCUCCUCCAACGGCUUUGCUUGGGCUGCUUUCACAGUGACAUUUUCCCCGCAUAAUGUGUUUCCGUGUAGUCCAUAUUCAAACAAAGCCUGUAGCUUUUAUGUUUGAAUGUAAGUGUUAGUGGCUUUUGAUUACAGUGAUCACAACUAUUUACUUGAGAUAUCAUGGGGUAAAGUAUAAAAUUUAUUGGAUUAUAUCAGUGUACCGAAGGGUAUCAUAUUAGUCUGAUGCUCAGUAUUUCUUGUUGAAUGUGGCCAGAGAUAAUUGUAAAGAUUAUUAUUUCUUAACAUUGGCUGGGUGAGUGCCGUCUUUCUGUCUUAUCUUGCUGCCCAGGACCUCCUGUCUCUGUUGAACUUGGGGCAGAUAAAGAUUGAGUAAUAAUCUCUUUUGUUUUAAUUAUUCAAGGGGAGUUGACAAUUUUUCCUGGCAAAGACACUCAAUUUCAGAUAAAAUUGUUUAUGCUGAACAAUGGUUCAUUUAUUUAGCAACUGUAGUCCUUGUUUAGUUGGAAGCUUCUUGGUAUUUAUGGGAAACUUGAAUUUCAAACUGGUAAUGCAACCGUUUUUAAGAAUUUUUAGUGAAAGAUUGCACUCAGAGUUUGAGCAACAGUAGUAACUUAACAAGAAUAGAGGCAUGGGUUUCUUUGGUUUGUUUCCAAGAGGGCUACAUUCUGACUCAUGAUUAUUUUGAAAUGUUUGUAAGAUAGCAUUUUUAGAACAGAUUUUGUCAGUUACUUAUGGGAUUAGAAGGGGAGCAGGAAGUGUGGGUGGGGAAUGCAAGUAAAAUGUAUACUAGUGUCCUAUUUUCUGCCCAUCACCCUGCAUUAUGUUUGUUCCUUUUUUUCCCCUGUCAAAGCAACCUUUAGAAUGUUUGGUUUAGUUUGUUCGUUCAAUAUGUAUUUGUAUCUGACUUUAGGGUAUAUUUAGUAUUUGAUGUGAAUGUUAAAUUGUGGUGACAAUUCAUCUUAUUUCAGUCCUUAUGUAUUACUCCUGUUAUAUUUCUGGCUUCAAGCAAGAAUUAUUGAACUGAAUUGAAACUUAACUAGUGGGGUAGUGAGAUCCAAUCCCUCAGCAAAAUGACUUAUGUUUCUAUUUUCUCUGUGCCUUUCUUUGCUAUGCCUCUGUACUGAAGCAUUGUAUGUAUUGCUCCCUGCCUUGUUAAAGUAUAAUUUUUAUUUUGUUUUUGUCAUACACAUUGCAACACACCCUUGAUGGAGUACAUGAAGUGUCAGCAUGUAUAAAGUAAUGUGUCAAUUCCACUGCUGAGCAAGUGAGCAUAUUGAUUCUCUGGUGUACACUGCUUUGUGUCACCAGUAUUUGAGGCGUCGUAACUUGAUCUGUAUGUAGGGGUGGUGACAAAUUUUUGUAUUUGUAUUUAUUGCGGUAAAAAUUUACAUGAUUUACAUAAGUUUUUACGCAAGUCAAGAACAAAGUGCAAAGCACAGCACCACGAUUGGAAGAUAGAAAAUAUAAAGUCGCCUCAGCAGUUUCAGAGAAAGUUUUCAAAGGUCAUCCAGACUAUUCGGCUCUUUUUUGCAUGAGGAACUUUUUGAGAACAUUUUUAAAGAUUUUGGGUUUGUCUCUCAUAUCCUUAAUUUCU
Molecule: long non-coding RNA, 2855 nt
Organism: Thrips palmi
Lineage: Eukaryota; Metazoa; Arthropoda; Insecta; Thysanoptera; Thripidae
Exons: 4
Source: RefSeq, a predicted model, not a curated record